UGGCGGCAGGCCUAACACAUGCAAGUCGAGCGGAUGACAGGAGCUUGCUCCUGGAUUCAGCGGCGGACGGGUGAGUAAUGCCUAGGAAUCUGCCUGGUAGUGGGGGACAACGUUUCGAAAGGAACGCUAAUACCGCAUACGUCCUACGGGAGAAAGCAGGGGACCUUCGGGCCUUGCGCUAUCAGAUGAGCCUAGGUCGGAUUAGCUUGUUGGUGAGGUAAUGGCUCACCAAGGCGACGACCUGUAACUGGUCUGAGAGGAUGAUCAGUCACACUGGAACUGAGACACGGUCCAGACUCCUACGGGAGGCAGCAGUGGGGAAUAUUGGACAAUGGGCGAAAGCCUGAUCCAGCCAUGCCGCGUGUGUGAAGAAGGUCUUCGGAUUGUAAAGCAAUUUAAGUUGGGAGGAAGGGUUGUAGAUUAAUACUCUGCAAUUUUGACGUUACCGACAGAAUAAGCACCGGCUAACUCUGUGCCAGCAGCCGCGGUAAUACAGAGGGUGCAAGCGUUAAUCGGAAUUACUGGGCGUAAAGCGCGCGUAGGUGGUUUGUUAAGUUGGAUGUGAAAGCCCCGGGCUCAACCUGGGAACUGCAUCCAAAACUGGCAAGCUAGAGUACGGUAGAGGGUGGUGGAAUUUCCUGUGUAGCGGUGAAAUGCGUAGAUAUAGGAAGGAACACCAGUGGCGAAGGCGACCACCUGGACUGAUACUGACACUGAGGUGCGAAAGCGUGGGGAGCAAACAGAUUGGAUACCCUGGUAGUCCACGCCGUAUACGAUGUCAACUAGCCGUUGGAAUCCUUGAGAUUUUAGUGGCGCAGCUAACGCAUUAAGUUGACCGCCUGGGGAGUACGGCCGCAAGGUUAAAACUCAAAUGAAUUGACGUUGGCCCGCACAAGCGGUGGAGCAUGUGGUUUAAUUCGAAGCAACGNGAAGAACCUUACCAGGCCUUNACAUGCAGAGAACUUUUCAGNGAUGGUAUUGUGCCUUCGGGAGGUGCUGCAUGNCUGUCGUCAGCACUCUACACAUCGUGUCGUGAGAUGUUGGGUUAAGUCCCGUAACGAGCGCAACCCUUGUCCUUAGUUACCAGCACAUUAUGGUGGGCACUCUAAGGAGACUGCCGGUGACAAACCGGAGGAAGGUGGGGAUGACGUCAAGUCAUCAUGGCCCUUACGGCCUGGGCUACACACGUGCUACAAUGGUCGGUACAGAGGGUUGCCAAGCCGCGAGGUGGAGCUAAUCUCACAAAACCGAUCGUAGUCCGGAUCGCAGUCUGCAACUCGACUGCGUGAAGUCGGAAUCGCUAGUAAUCGCGAAUCAGAAUGUCGCGGUGAAUACGUUCCCGGGCCUUGUACACACCGCCCGUCACACCAUGGGAGUGGGUUGCACCAGAAGUAGCUAGUCUAACCUUCGGGGGGACGGUUACCACGGUGUGAUUCAUGACUGGGGUGAAGUGUAACAAGGUAGCCGUAGGGGAACCUGCGGCUGGAUCACCU
This 1493-nucleotide ribosomal RNA is filed under the name Pseudomonas fulva. RNAcentral's name for it is "16S ribosomal RNA". It matches the Rfam family "Bacterial small subunit ribosomal RNA". Lineage: Bacteria; Pseudomonadati; Pseudomonadota; Gammaproteobacteria; Pseudomonadales; Pseudomonadaceae. The record is from RNAcentral.